AUACAGAGGGUGCGAGCAUUAAUCGGAAUUACUGGGCGUAAAGCGCGCGUAGGCGGCUUAUUAAGUCAGAUGUGAAAUCCCCGGGCUCAACCUGGGAACUGCAUCUGAUACUGGUAAGCUAGAGUUUUGGAGAGGGAAGUAGAAUUUCAGGUGUAGCGGUGAAAUGCAUAGAGAGCUGAAGGAAUACCAGUGGCGAAGGCGACUUCCUGGCCAAAAACUGACGCUGAGGUGCGAAAGCGUGGGUAGCAAACGGGAUUAGAAACCCUAGUAGUCC
Molecule: ribosomal RNA, 274 nt
Filed under: uncultured bacterium
Lineage: Bacteria
Description: partial 16S ribosomal RNA
Rfam family: Bacterial small subunit ribosomal RNA
Source: RNAcentral